CACGUAGGGUGCGAGCGUUGUCCGGAAUUAUUGGGCGUAAAGAGCUCGUAGGCGGUGUGUCGCGUCGGCCGUGAAAACCUGCAGCUUAACUGUGGGCGUGCGGUCGAUACGGGCAUCACUGGAGUUCGGCAGGGGAGACUGGAAUUCCUGGUGUAGCGGUGAAAUGCGCAGAUAUCAGGAGGAACACCGAUGGCGAAGGCAGGUCUCUGGGCCGAUACUGACGCUGAGGAGCGAAAGCGUGGGGAGCAAACAGG
This 254-nucleotide ribosomal RNA is filed under the name uncultured bacterium. RNAcentral's name for it is "partial 16S ribosomal RNA". It matches the Rfam family "Bacterial small subunit ribosomal RNA", at positions 524 to 776 of the family's 1533-position model. The record is from RNAcentral.